GACGAACGCUGGCGGCGUGCUUAACACAUGCAAGUCGAGCGGUAAGGCUCCUUCGGGAGUACACGAGCGGCGAACGGGUGAGUAACACGUGAGUAAUCUGCCCUUCACUUCGGGAUAACCACCGGAAACGGUGGCUAAUACCGAAUACGACCAGUCUUCGCAUGAGGUGCUGGGGGAAGGUCUUUUCGGUGAAGGAUGUGCUCGCGGCCUAUCAGCUUGUUGGUGGGGUAAUGGCCUAACAAGGCUUCGACGGGUAGCCGGCCUGAGAGGGUGACCGGCCACACUGGGACUGAGACACGGCCCAGACUCCUCCGGGAGGCAGCAGUGGGGAAUAUUGGACAAUGGGCGAAAGCCUGAUCCAGCAACGCCGCGUGAGGGAUGACGGCCUUCGGGUUGUACGCCUCUUUCAGUACCGACGAAGCGCCCUGUCGGGUGGUGACGGUAGGUACAGAAGAAGGACCGGCCAACUACGUG
This 474-nucleotide ribosomal RNA is filed under the name uncultured bacterium. RNAcentral's name for it is "partial 16S ribosomal RNA". It matches the Rfam family "Bacterial small subunit ribosomal RNA", at positions 28 to 507 of the family's 1533-position model. The record is from RNAcentral.